This is a long non-coding RNA of Sapajus apella (tufted capuchin), 686 nucleotides long. RefSeq lists it as uncharacterized. The record is from RefSeq and is a predicted model, not a curated record. The transcript is spliced from 3 exons. NCBI's taxonomy places the organism in Eukaryota, Metazoa, Chordata, Mammalia, Primates, Cebidae.
UUGACCAAUAUAGUGUGACGGAAGUGAUGGCCUGAUUUUCAGAUGCUAGGUCAUAGGAUUUCUUACACUUUUCACUGGAUCUUUUUGGAAGCUCCUUUUUAGAAUGCUCUCUCUAAAAUUCCAGCUAGCUCACAAUAUAAAACCUAAGCUACACGAAGGGGUCACGUAUAGGGUGCCUCAGUGGAAAGCUCCAGCUGAGCUCCCAGCUGACAGCCAGCAUCAGCUACCAGCCAUGGCUGGACUGGAGAAACAUCAAGUCCAGUCAAGAUUUGAGAUGACCAUAGUCCCAGCCAACGUUUGACUGCAAUUUUACAAGAGUUCCCAAGCAAGAACUUCUCAAGUUCAGCACUCCUGUUGAAUUCGACUGGAUUCUGGAAAGAUAUUUGGACUCACUAUCAUAACAGAAGAGUGAUAAUAAAUAUAAAUACCUGAACCUGAAUCUCAACUUUGCUAUUCUUUAUGUAUGUGAUUUUUGACACAUUAUUUCCUGCCUAGGGGUGAAUACAUUUGGUGUACAUACGUUCAGAUAUGAAUAUACAGAUGCAUAUACAUUUUCAAUAUACCAGCUUUAAUGGAGAAGAACAAAGGAUAUUCAUUAAUUGGAGCUACAAAAAUCUCUUCAAGGACUUCCAUUUGCAUCAGAAUAAAGUCUAUCUUUCUUAGUCUGGCAUUCAAGGCCUUCUGAA